This 446-nucleotide ribosomal RNA is filed under the name uncultured bacterium. RNAcentral describes it as "partial 16S ribosomal RNA". It matches the Rfam family "Bacterial small subunit ribosomal RNA", at positions 338 to 795 of the family's 1533-position model. The record is from RNAcentral.
CCUACGGGUGGCAGCAGUCGAGAAUCAUUCACAAUGGGGGAAACCCUGAUGGUGCGACGCCGCGUGGGGGAAUGAAGGUCUUCGGAUUGUAAACCCCUGUCAUGGGGGAGCAAAUUAAAAAGAUAGUACCACAAUAGGCAGAUACAGCUAACUCUGUGCCUGCAGCCGCGGUCAUACAGAGGUCUCAAGCGUUGUUCGGAAUCACUGGGCGUAAAGCGUGCGUAGGCUGUUUAGUAAGUCGUGUGUGAAAGGCGCGGGCUCAACCCGCGGACGGCACAUGAUACUGCGAGACUAGAGUAAUGGAGGGGGAACCGGAAUUCUCGGUGUAGCAGUGAAAUGCGUAGAUAUCGAGAGGAACACUCGUGGCGAAGGCGGGUUACUGGACAUUAACUGACGCUGAGGCACGAAGGCCAGGGGAGCGAAAGGGAUUAGAUACCCCUGUAGUC